Molecule: ribosomal RNA, 339 nt
Filed under: uncultured bacterium
Lineage: Bacteria
Description: bacterial SSU rRNA
Rfam family: Bacterial small subunit ribosomal RNA
Source: RNAcentral
AGCGAACGUUAGCGGCGGGCCUAACACAUGCAAGUCGGGGGAGAAGUGGCUUCGGCCAUGAGUAAACCGGCGGACGGGUGAGUAACACGUGGGUAAUGUACCUAUCGGCGGGGAUAACAAUCCGAAGGGUUGCUAAUACCGCAUGCGUCGGCGAGGUCUUCGGAUCUUGCCGGGAAAGAUGGCCUCUCCAUGGAAGCUAUCACCGGUAGAUCAGCCCGCCGUCCCAUCAGUUAGUUGGUGAGGUAAUGGCUCACCAAGGCUUAGACGGGUAGCUGGUCUGAGAGGAUGAUCAGCCACACUGGGACUGAGACACGGCCCAGACUCCUACGGGAGGCAGCA